Molecule: ribosomal RNA, 79 nt
Filed under: uncultured Anaerococcus sp.
Lineage: Bacteria; Bacillati; Bacillota; Tissierellia; Tissierellales; Peptoniphilaceae
Description: partial 16S ribosomal RNA
Source: RNAcentral
AAGUCUUGACAUAUUACGGCGGAACUUAGAGAUAAGUUCUUAUGACUUCGGUCAACUGUAAUACAGGUGGUGCAUGGUU